RNAcentral lists this long non-coding RNA (716 nucleotides) under Homo sapiens (human). RNAcentral's name for it is "HSALNT0379981". Lineage: Eukaryota; Metazoa; Chordata; Mammalia; Primates; Hominidae. The record is from RNAcentral.
AGAUGUUUCUGUCUUGGGGAACUUCCUUUCUCUUCUUGCCACUGCACCAGGUGCUGACUACACUUCCUUACCACAGGGCAAGUGACAUCUGAAGAGGCUGACAGACUUCAGAGCUGGGUAAGGCAACCAGAAUACCCCCUGAACUGCCUCUGCCUGUUCUGUGAUGUCACCUGACCUCUGCUCUGUUUACAUAUAGCUGCUUGUGACAUCAUCUGGGCAUGUAUGGUAUCUGUAUCUAUGUCAAGACCUGGGCUUUGCUCCACUUGGAGUCAGCUGAUUGGCAGGAGGGCAUCUGAAAUUGAGAGGAGGUUUCAGGCCGUUUACCCAGCCCUUUAGUGGGGAUCUGUCCGGGACUCUGCAGUCUGAACCUGCAACUGUAAAAGAGGUCUGGUUGAAGGACAUGAGCAGUGCAGAACAGAAGAGAGACAACAAAUAAAAGUGGUCAUCACUGUUUCAACUGGGAAGAGCAGUAUGGAUAUAGAAACCAAGUCAGGAGGGGAAACAAGGCAUGGUCCCUGGAAACAACCCUGGUGCUGUCCAGCAGCGUGUUGAACAGGAAGUUGUGUGUGCGAAUACAAGGUUCCAUAAAAUUCCUGAUGGAGAUCGUGGAGUGAAAAGAAAUUAUCACAGAAUUCCAACAAGGCUUGAAGGCAGAAUUAUCUUUAGAAAACUAAGCCUGUAUUAAUAAAAAAAACAUAAUAUGAAAAUAUAAUUUA